CUAAAGUUCACAUAUGUGCUAGCUGGCUGGGAGGGGUCAGCGCAUGAUGCUAACAUUCUCAGUGACAACAUGAGUCGACCUAAUGGUAUCAACAUCCCCGACGGCAAGUUCUACCUUGGAGAUGCUGGCCAUGCGUGUCGGGCGGGUGUUCUUCCACCCUUCAGGAAAACCAGGUAUCAUCUCAACGAGUUCUCUGGUAGGAAUUAUCUUAGGACUGCAAAUGAGUUGUUUAAUCUCAGACACUCCAGCCUUAGAGUAAUUGUUGAGAGGACAUUUGGAGCUCUGAGGCCAUUCACCCAUACCCCACUCAGGUUAAGCUUGUUCUUACUUGUUGCAUUCUGCAUAACUGGAUCCUCCAGUGGGGCUUCGAUGAACACGUGCCUGAGGAGGAAGAGGUCGAGCCUGACAAUGUUGUUACCUCCGGCCAUGGUGUGGAGGCAUUUGACAAUGACGCUUGAAAGAACAAAAGGUUGGAGUGGGCAGAGGCAAGUGCAGGAUUUGAAGAAGAGGAAGAAGAAGCAGAAGCAGAAGCAGAAGAAGAGGACGAUGAAGAGGAAGAUCUGGUAG
This 567-nucleotide ribosomal RNA is filed under the name Triticum aestivum (bread wheat). RNAcentral describes it as "partial small subunit ribosomal RNA". The record is from RNAcentral. Lineage: Eukaryota; Viridiplantae; Streptophyta; Magnoliopsida; Poales; Poaceae.